RNAcentral lists this transfer RNA (71 nucleotides) under Bodianus mesothorax (splitlevel hogfish). RNAcentral's name for it is "tRNA-Gln". It matches the Rfam family "tRNA". From Rfam's summary of the family: Transfer RNA (tRNA) molecules are approximately 80 nucleotides in length. Lineage: Eukaryota; Metazoa; Chordata; Actinopteri; Labriformes; Labridae. The record is from RNAcentral. RNAcentral also lists the same sequence under 1 other name.
UAGGAAGUGGUGUAGUGGAAGCACUGAGAGUUUUGAUCUCUCCAGGGAGGGUUCGAGUCCCUUUUUCCUAA